RNAcentral lists this long non-coding RNA (3076 nucleotides) under Homo sapiens (human). RNAcentral's name for it is "HSALNT0332108". Lineage: Eukaryota; Metazoa; Chordata; Mammalia; Primates; Hominidae. The record is from RNAcentral.
UUACUUCAAAACAUAAUGCCUUCAAACAACAGCACAUUUGGUUGUGUGUGUGGCAGGGUGGAGAUCAGGAUUUCUGGAGCUGCUUAGCUGAGAGGUUUUGGUUAAGGGUCUCCCAGGAGGUUGCCAUGAAGGUGCAGGCUGGGGUCACAGGCACUGGAAGGCAUGGCUGGAGCAAGCAGACCAUUUCCAAGUGGCUCACUCUCAUAGCUGCCAAGUUGGUGAUUGCUGUUUGUAGAUACAUCCAGUUCCUUCCACAUCAACCCUGCCAUAGGCUGCUUGAGUAGUCUCAUGACAUGGCAGCUGGCUCACCCCAGAAUAAGGUAAGAAUGAUCUGAGAAAGUGGUGAAAGUGGCAAUGUGUUUUGUGAUCUGACCUCAGAAAUGACGUAUUGUCAUCUUCUAUUUGGUAGAGGAGAGCUGUUAUGUCUAGCUCACGCUCAAGGAAAUGACUUACUGCAAAGAACCACUCUUCCCCACGAGACUUCGAGAAGACCCGCUGUCACGGACUGAGUUGUGUCCUCUUAAAAUUCAGAUGUUGGAGUCCAAACCCCCAGUAACUCAGAGUGUGAACGUAUUUGAAGAGGUCUUUAAAGAGGUGAUGAAGGGAGAGAGACCCCAUGAGCUCGUCAAGCUCCUUCUGUGACUGAUCAGAGAUCCCACCGUGAGUCCAGCUCCUGGUCCCAUGCUCUGGAUAUAUCGGUCCCUGGCAGCGUGCAGUCUUCUUUCCACCAAUGACCCCUCGCGCUGCUUCCAGAAGCCAAGAAAGUGGGCUUUGUCCUUGGGGAUUUAGGAGGCGGAGCGGCGCCCCCUUGAGGCCACAUGGUGGAGGCAGCGAUGAGACCUGGAGUCUAAAAUUCAGACUGAAUCACAGGAAGAAGCUAUUUACACAAGUCAAACAUGGUCCAAUCUUGGCAAUUUCAUAAGGUUCCAAUCCUUAAGGGAUCAAAACCUGGCCAACUGCUUCCACCGAGAGGUGUGCCUUUCAAUGCCAGGCUUGGAGUGUCCCUCUUUAUUUAAAAAGGAGAGGAUUCCACAGCAGAGCUUCUCAAACUCUUCCACCCAAAUCCCCUCACCACAGAGGGACAGGAGUCCUGGGCAUGUAGCCUAAAGCAGCCAGGAGAAAAAAACCUUGACCUUAAUUUUUUUAAUGAUUUCACAUGAAUCAGUGGAAUGUGUUUAUGAUAAAAUCAUCUCCUCCUGAAAUACAUGUGUAAAACUGCUGCCCCAGUUAAACGCACUUAGUCUAACCAAGCCCUAGGAUUGGCCUCUCCAGCAUGAGAAGCAUUUCCAGCACUCCAGCUCCCCAGCUCCCACUCUGGGAUCCCACCUCAGACCCUCCCACUUCCUUGCACUCUGGCCUCUCGCUCUUGACCCUGCUCCCGCCACGCUCUUUCCUCAGAGUCCAUCAGUCCUGUCUUGUCUUCACCUUGGUCUCUGCCAAGUGUGGGUCCAAGUCAUAUAUUUGGGCUGUGAUCACAGGAACCCCAAGCCCCAGACCUCCCAAAGCACCCUAUGGAGAGACCUUACCCUCCUGGACAGACCCUCUCCCCCCAGCUAGACCUCAUCCUCUGGGUAGACCCAUCUCCCCAACCAGAACUCACCCUCCUGAGUAAACCCCAUCCCCCUAGCUAGACUUCAUCCUCCUGGACAGAUCCCAUCCCCCCAGCUAGACCUCACCCUCUUGGGUAGAUGCAUCUCCCCAACCAGAACUCUCCUGGGUAGACCCCUUCUACCCAGCUAGACCUGAUCCUCUGGACAGACCCCAUCAUCCCAGCUAGACUUCUCCCUCCUGGACUGUCCCCAUCCCCCCUCCAGCCAGACCUCACCCCUCUGGGUAGACCCCAUCCCCCCAACUAGACCUCACCCUCCUGGAUGGACUCUACCCUCCUGGAGAUACCUUCCCCUCCUGGGUACAUCCCACGUGGCUACACACUCCUUCCCCUGUCAGCUUUCUCCCCCAGGGUUCUGGGCAGCAGAGUCUGUGAUAAAGGAUACUAAGUGAUUCCCCAAUACUUCCCGUUUCCAGCCUCCAGUGGGCUCUCCCUGGGGCUAACGGUUCUUUUUGCUAUUUCUCCAGGCUUUGCCUGAUGACAAGUAUACUCUGAGAGUGUCCUAAUGAUACAGAUUUUGGACCCUAUCCCAGUUCUACUGAAUCCAAGUCUCUGGGGGAGGAGUUGGGGCUCUGCAUCUGGACACCUUCCUGCAGGGUCCCUCCUGGGAGGCAAGCCCGGGGAGCACCGCUGAGGCUCGCCUCAGUGCCCAUCCUAGACCUUCAGCAGCUAGCAGAGGAUGUCCCCACCAUCCCUCAGCCCACACUCCCACUGUCGCCCCAGCCAGGCUUGGCACUGCCUCCUUUCUCAGAAGAUUAAGACCAUCUGCUGUUUCCCAAGUUUCCCACCCUCCACCCUAAAAAUUUCUCCGUUUCCCAGUCUUUCCUCGUCUCUCAGAAAAUAAACAUCUUCCCAGGCUGCCUCCCCAGUGGGUCUGCACUCCUUGCUGUCUUCCCAGCACCUGCCCUUCCAGCCCGCCCUCUGUGUGUCCAGUGUUUCCCUCACCAAAGGACUCGCUUUGUUUUUCAAAUUGGAGGUUUUGUCUUCUCCCUAAAAACCAAAACAUCUCCCUGAGAAGUAACUCCCUCAAGCUACUGAUACGGAAGGGGGGCGGGGAAGUGCUGGGAAGGGAAGGGUGUGGUCCCUGGCUAGGGCUCCACCCCCGGGCCUGUGCCCACAGACCUAGGUGAGGACAGGCAUUUCUGUUUUCGUGCUUAAAUGUUGGAUUUCCCAAGACUACCCUGGCCUACCACACCCUCAUUCUGUGCCUGUAAAAAAACCUGAGAGCUUAGCAGGCACGCACACAAGCCUCUGGACGUCAAGAGGAACACACCGGUGUAAGAGCAGACUGAUAGUGGCCCACGGCAGGCUGGCAGGCCAUCGACAGGCAGAACCACUCAGUGCAGCUGGAGGACAGCCUGGCCACGGAGCGGUCCGACUUCAGAGGGGAAAACCACCUCCCCACUCCGUCUCCCUUCUGGCUCCCCCAUCUGAGAGCUACUUCCACUCAAUAAAACCUUGCACUCA